CUCCCCACUCUCGAUCCUCUCUGGAAUGCUCCCAUGGCAGCCUUUCCCCCCGCUUAAUAACCAGGGUCUCCAAAAAGUUCCCGUUCGAGUUCUCCCUGUGCUCUACGCCUGUUUCCCCGCCCACGGAUUUCCCUUAGUUUCUGCGAAUGGUUUCUGUUAAACCCAGUUCUGUUCACGUUUUUGUUCCUUCUAAUAAAUUAUACAUAGUUCGA
This is a long non-coding RNA of Pundamilia nyererei, 212 nucleotides long. RefSeq lists it as uncharacterized. NCBI's taxonomy places the organism in Eukaryota, Metazoa, Chordata, Actinopteri, Cichliformes, Cichlidae. The record is from RefSeq and is a predicted model, not a curated record. The transcript is spliced from 2 exons.